RNAcentral lists this ribosomal RNA (589 nucleotides) under uncultured Stenotrophomonas sp. RNAcentral describes it as "bacterial SSU rRNA". It matches the Rfam family "Bacterial small subunit ribosomal RNA", at positions 338 to 918 of the family's 1533-position model. Lineage: Bacteria; Pseudomonadati; Pseudomonadota; Gammaproteobacteria; Lysobacterales; Lysobacteraceae. The record is from RNAcentral.
CCUACGGGAGGCAGCAGUGGGGAAUAUUGGACAAUGGGCGCAAGCCUGAUCCAGCCAUACCGCGUGGGUGAAGAAGGCCUUCGGGUUGUAAAGCCCUUUUGUUGGGAAAGAAAUCCAGCUGGCUAAUACCCGGUUGGGAUGACGGUACCCAAAGAAUAAGCACCGGCUAACUUCGUGCCAGCAGCCGCGGUAAUACGAAGGGUGCAAGCGUUACUCGGAAUUACUGGGCGUAAAGCGUGCGUAGGUGGUCGUUUAAGUCCGUUGUGAAAGCCCUGGGCUCAACCUGGGAACUGCAGUGGAUACUGGGCGACUAGAAUGUGGUAGAGGGUAGCGGAAUUCCUGGUGUAGCAGUGAAAUGCGUAGAGAUCAGGAGGAACAUCCAUGGCGAAGGCAGCUACCUGGACCAACAUUGACACUGAGGCACGAAAGCGUGGGGAGCAAACAGGAUUAGAUACCCUGGUAGUCCACGCCCUAAACGAUGCGAACUGGAUGUUGGGUGCAAUUUGGCACGCAGUAUCGAAGCUAACGCGUUAAGUUCGCCGCCUGGGGAGUACGGUCGCAAGACUGAAACUCAAAUGAAUUGACGGGG